CCCGCACAAGCGGCGGAGCAUGCGGAUUAAUUCGAUGCAACGCGAAGAACCUUACCAAGGCUUGACAUAUACGAGAACGGGCCAGAAAUGGUCAACUCUUUGGACACUCGUAAACAGGUGGUGCAUGGUUGUCGUCAGCUCGUGUCGUGAGAUGUUGGGUUAAGUCCCGCAACNAGCGCAACCCUCGUUCUAUGUUGCCAGCACGUAAUGGUGGGAACUCAUGGGAUACUGCCGGGGUCAACUCGGAGGAAGGNGGGGAUGACGUNAAAUCANCA
RNAcentral lists this ribosomal RNA (275 nucleotides) under Microbacterium sp. RNAcentral describes it as "partial 16S ribosomal RNA". It matches the Rfam family "Bacterial small subunit ribosomal RNA", at positions 920 to 1195 of the family's 1533-position model. Lineage: Bacteria; Bacillati; Actinomycetota; Actinomycetes; Micrococcales; Microbacteriaceae. The record is from RNAcentral.